UACGUAGGGUGCAAGCGUUGUCCGGAAUUAUUGGGCGUAAAGAGCUCGUAGGCGGUCUGUCGCGUCUGCUGUGAAAACCUGGGGCUUAACCCCGGGCCUGCAGUGGGUACGGGCAGACUAGAGUGCGGUAGGGGAGACUGGAAUUCCUGGUGUAGCGGUGAAAUGCGCAGAUAUCAGGAGGAACACCGGUGGCGAAGGCGGGUCUCUGGGCCGUAACUGACGCUGAGGCACGAAAGCGUGGGUAGCAAACAGG
RNAcentral lists this ribosomal RNA (253 nucleotides) under uncultured bacterium. RNAcentral describes it as "partial 16S ribosomal RNA". It matches the Rfam family "Bacterial small subunit ribosomal RNA", at positions 524 to 776 of the family's 1533-position model. The record is from RNAcentral.